This 343-nucleotide ribosomal RNA is filed under the name Polyschismium chailletii. Its description in RNAcentral is "bacterial SSU rRNA". It matches the Rfam family "Eukaryotic small subunit ribosomal RNA", at positions 109 to 405 of the family's 1831-position model. The record is from RNAcentral. Lineage: Eukaryota; Evosea; Eumycetozoa; Physariida; Didymiaceae.
GUUGUAAACUAUAGCAAGCAAUCCCACGGUUGGGCUUCGGCCUGGCUGUGGGUAAAAUGGAUAACCAUGGUAAUUCUGAGGCUAAUACAAGAACGUACUCCCUGGCUUACCGGCAACGGAAGGCUGGGGAGCGUGCAACGUAUCGUAAGACAAACCGGGAAUGGGUGCACGCUUGGACCGCGCUAAAAACAGAUCUUGGUGAACCUUCGGGUAAGCUUUGGCCUGAGCGGCUCUUGCUGUGUGCUUCUGACCUAUCAACUAGAUGGCAGCGUAACGGACAUGCUAUGGUUACAACGGGUACAGAGGAUUAGGGUUCGAUCCUGGAGAGUGGGCCUGAGAGAUU